Molecule: transfer RNA, 78 nt
Filed under: Blastopirellula sp. J2-11
Lineage: Bacteria; Pseudomonadati; Planctomycetota; Planctomycetia; Pirellulales; Pirellulaceae
Description: tRNA-Leu
Source: RNAcentral
GGCACGGUACGCAAACCUUGGCAAAGCGGCGAAGCUCAGACCUUCGUGACUUUGUGAGUUCGACUCUCACUCGUGCCA